AUCGUUAUUGUGUUAUCAAUGUACUACACCGAUUCACCAUUCAUCAUUUUAACGUCCAUCAAAUUUGAGGAUUUGUUUCAUGUGUCUAAACACUAGAGUGCUUGAAACUGUGAAUGCAUUAUGGAUUUUUCAUGACAAAUUUAAUUUGUCAUCGGAUUAUUUAUUAUGUAUUGCUCACCAAAACAAAAUCAAGUUGAACAGUAUCGCACAAUGCAAGAGUGACACAAAUGUUAAAAUCGGUCACAUACAGAAUAAGGUAUCAUGUCCACAUCCAUAUGUGGCUUAACGACAGAAUAUUUGCAAAAUAAUUUCCACGUGGUUCCUGAAGAAAUGUUCCACAAAUUAAAUUGUUAUACAUAUCUAAGGAAUUAAUCACCAUCAUGGCAUCACUUUCAAAAACAAAAUUAGUUAAACAGAGUUACCACACUACGCAAGACGAAAUAAAUGUUGUUUUCUCCGGAACUCUUUAAAUGCGAGUAAAUCAAUCAAUAAUAACUGUCAAAUUUGAGUAUAUUGUGACUAUAUGUAUUUCCCAAUUGUAUCAGCAAAUGAAAAUUUAUAUUUUUUGAUACAUGUACUGUGUACAUUUAAAAAAGUAUGGAAUAAUAAAUACUUAUGUUGUACAUUUUUGAACGGGCUACACAAUAGAUAAUAGCUUUUAUGAAACAUGAAAUAUCAAGUCGGACUACCACUUUUGUAAAUUAUGCAGACGAACUUUG
This is a long non-coding RNA of Acyrthosiphon pisum (pea aphid), 719 nucleotides long. RefSeq lists it as uncharacterized. The record is from RefSeq and is a predicted model, not a curated record. Lineage: Eukaryota; Metazoa; Arthropoda; Insecta; Hemiptera; Aphididae. The transcript is spliced from 3 exons.